Molecule: transfer RNA, 100 nt
Filed under: Laccaria bicolor S238N-H82
Lineage: Eukaryota; Fungi; Basidiomycota; Agaricomycetes; Agaricales; Hydnangiaceae
Rfam family: tRNA
About the family: Transfer RNA (tRNA) molecules are approximately 80 nucleotides in length. Their secondary structure includes four short double-helical elements and three loops (D, anti-codon, and T loops). Further hydrogen bonds mediate the characteristic L-shaped molecular structure. tRNAs have two regions of fundamental functional importance: the anti-codon, which is responsible for specific mRNA codon recognition, and the 3' end, to which the tRNAs corresponding amino acid is attached (by aminoacyl-tRNA synthetases). tRNAs cope with the degeneracy of the genetic code in two manners: having more than one tRNA (with a specific anti-codon) for a particular amino acid; and 'wobble' base-pairing, i.e. permitting non-standard base-pairing at the 3rd anti-codon position.
Source: Rfam by way of RNAcentral
GCCCACCUAGCUCAAUCGGAUAGAGCGUCAGACUUUUAUAUACCAAUGUUUACAGAUUGUCUUAAUCUGAAGGCUGCGAGUUCGACCCUCGCGGUGGGCU